GACGAACGCUGGCGGCGUGCUUAACACAUGCAAGUCGAACGGAAAGGCCCCUUUGGGGGUACUCGAGUGGCGAACGGGUGAGUAACACGUGAGUAACCUGCCCUUGACUUCGGGAUAACUUCAGGAAACUGGGGCUAAUACCGGAUAGGAAUCCUUGCUGCAUGGUGGGGGUUGGAAAGCUUCGGCGGUUUUGGAUGGACUUGCGGCUUAUCAGCUUGUUGGUGGGGUAGUGGCUUACCAAGGCUUUGACGGGUAGCCGGCCUGAGAGGGCGACCGGCCACAUUGGGACUGAGAUACGGCCCAGACUCCUACGGGAGGCAGCAGUGGGGAAGAUUGCACAAUGGGCGGAAGCCUGAUGCAGCAACGCCGCGGGCGGGAGGACGGCCUUCGGGUUGUAAACCGCUUUCAGCAGGGGCGAAGCUUGUGGUGACGGUACCUGCAGAAGAAGCACCGGCUAACUACGUG
RNAcentral lists this ribosomal RNA (465 nucleotides) under uncultured bacterium. RNAcentral describes it as "partial 16S ribosomal RNA". It matches the Rfam family "Bacterial small subunit ribosomal RNA", at positions 28 to 507 of the family's 1533-position model. The record is from RNAcentral.